Episyrphus balteatus (marmalade hoverfly) is the source of this 707-nucleotide long non-coding RNA. RefSeq lists it as uncharacterized. Lineage: Eukaryota; Metazoa; Arthropoda; Insecta; Diptera; Syrphidae. The record is from RefSeq and is a predicted model, not a curated record. The transcript is spliced from 2 exons.
UCAUAAAUCAAUAGUUUUUUUGAUUCAGUAAUUUUUGGUUUAUUCAACAAAGUUACAAAAAGUUUGUGCGACUAUAUAAAAAAUUUUGAAAACUAAGAGAAAUUUAGUAGACGGAUGGGAAAAGCUAUCAAAUAUAUAUAGUUAUCUGAAAACAACAAGAAAAAUUGUCAAUAAAAUAAAAGGAAAAAAACAUAUCUGGAAUGAAUGGUUCACAGACUAUUCGUAUUCGUUCCUUACGAUGCCUCAGUCAAGAUUAUGAUGACCUUGAAAUAAUAAUAAUCUUGUUGACGUAGGUUUUUCUAGAUGUAUAUUGGUUUACUACAAAUGCUUAUGAAAAACACCAAUUUCAAAGGGUUGGCAAAGUUCCAUCUGGACAUUGUAAUCUUCUAAAAUCUAAAUCAAUGGCAUAUGGCAACUACGAAUCUCAACCAAAUCAUCGAAUUCAAAUAAGAAAAGAAACAGGAUUCCUAUUACAUUUUCAAUUGGAAUACAAACAGAAAUAUUUUCUACAAAAAAGGAAUAUUGAACAAUUUUUAAAAUUCAAAUUCCAAAAAUCAAAAUAGUUUCUCGAAAAAUACCUAUCAAGUGACGUAAGCUCAUCAUGCACGAACCUGUCAAAACAGCACGAUUCAACAUGAAUAAAAAAAAAGAAAAAUCUCUACACAAAACUCUCUCCACCAACUCUACAUACUCGGUAGAAAUAAAAA